RNAcentral lists this ribosomal RNA (646 nucleotides) under Callyspongia plicifera (azure vase sponge). RNAcentral's name for it is "eukaryotic LSU rRNA". It matches the Rfam family "Eukaryotic large subunit ribosomal RNA", at positions 665 to 1232 of the family's 3401-position model. Lineage: Eukaryota; Metazoa; Porifera; Demospongiae; Haplosclerida; Callyspongiidae. The record is from RNAcentral.
CCCUNNUUAAACCCGAACCAAGGAGUGCAAGAGAUGCGCAAGUCGGAAGGGUUGUGUCGGGGCUUUCCUUCGGGACUGCCUCGCCUGAGAGACCCAUGUGUUUGGAACAGGCGAAGUGAGAGCAAUUCGUGGGUGCGAGAGCCAAAGGGAGACCUGAGGCGCAUCGCUGGCCGAGCCAAGGUCACGCUGUGGCCGGUUUCGAGUACGAGCGUAUCUGUUGCGACCCGAAAGAUGGUGAACUAUGCCUGAGGAGGGUGAAGCCAGAGGAAACUCUGGUGGAGGCCCGUAGCGGUUCUGACGUGCAAAUCGAUCGUCGCACUUGGGUAUAGGGGCGAAAGACUAAUCGAACCAUCUAGUAGCUGGUUCCCUCCGAAGUUUCCCUCAGGAUAGCUGGAGCUCGUUCCGAGCAGUUUCGUCGGGUAAAGCGAAUGAUUAGAGGUAUCGGGGUUGAAAGGGCCUCGCCCUAUUCUCAAACUUUAAAUCGGCGAGAAGGGUCUGUCUUGCCUGCCGGAAGACGAUCCUUGAAUGCAGGGGCUCCAAGUGGGCCGUUUUUGGUAAGCAGAACCGGCGAUGCGGGAUGAACCGAACGCUAGGCUAUGGCGCCGGAGUCGACGCUGAGCAGAUACCAGGAAAGGUGUUGGUUGAU